CUCAAUACCAUAAACGGAAGAAAGCCAUGACGGUGGGCGAGUACCGCCACCUGGCCAACAGUGAAAAGUACCAGACUCCUCCACACCAGAGUUUUAAAGAUUUGGAGAGAAAAUACUGGAAGAAUCGCCUCUAUGGUUGCCCCAUUUAUGGUGCUGACAUCAGCGGCUCCUUGUUUGAUGAAAACACAAAGCAGUAGAACCUUGGGCGCCUGGAAACCAUUCUGGAUCUGUUGGAGCAGGAAUCUGGAGUUGUCAUCGAGGGAGUCAACACACCCUACCUGUACUUUGGCAUGUGGAAGACCAUGUUCGCGUGGCACACGGAGGACAUGGACCUCUACAGCAUCAACUACCUGCACUUUGGGGAGCCCAAAACUUGUGAGACCUGCUGCAGCAGGAAUGUGCAUCAUGGUCAUUGUCCUUGUGCAUCUGGGCGACCACCUGCCGGAGAUGCUGCUGCCAGGUCCAGGGCCACAGCCUACAGCUCCCAAGAGCUCAGCCGAGGCCCACUGGCCUCCCAGCGUCCAUCUGUCCCAGAUACCCACCUGUCAGCUGGCCAUCCUUCCCGUCAACUAAGGGUUCAAGAGCCGAUCCACCAGGGUCCAGUCAAGAAGUGCAGCUGAGGAGCGAAGCCCCAUGGGUGCCCAGGCAACCUGCCCC
This 657-nucleotide long non-coding RNA is filed under the name Heterocephalus glaber (naked mole-rat). RNAcentral describes it as "lncRNA (ENSHGLG00000036665.1)". Lineage: Eukaryota; Metazoa; Chordata; Mammalia; Rodentia; Bathyergidae. The record is from RNAcentral.